AAUAACAUUAACGACGGCAGCAUUGCAUUUAGAUUUGACCGUUUGAGAGCACUUUGCAUUGUGCACGACAGCUCAAUGGCUUACUGGAGCUCUUAAAUGAACAGAGUCAUCCUCAAAGUAAUUAGUGACAGCUGCGAAUCUGGUGCCACAGUAUGACAAAUCAAAAUGAAAAGCCUGGCUGUUCAGAUUGAAAGCUUCAAGCAACCCAGUAUUGUCCCCACGCUACUGAUGGAUUUCGUCUCUCAAUACUGCUUUAAACUGCCAAAGGAGAAAAAAUGCCACCGCAGAAAAAGCUGUUCUGGAGGCUUCACUACAGCCUCUGACCUACUUCAAGCACUUGAGAUGAUGGAGGAAAAAGACGCUGCUGAGGUGCGAAAUUCAGGCAAUGAUAGAAGAAGAGGGAUUCCUGCUCGUCUUUAUAAGCGAUGCCUAAGGCUGGAAAGAGAAGCUGAUGUUAUGGUGCAGCUCACAGGAUUUUAGACUCAUCUUAUAUUUGCAGCAACAAUGAAUUUGUUAAGCGAUAUGUAUUUAAUGUUUCUGUCUGAUGGUGUAAAAUGACAGUGUGUUGGAAAACAUUAAAGGACUCAAAACCUUGAAUAUUGUAAUAUAUUUGUAAGUAUGCGAUGGAUGUACAUUUUAUGUAUUUAUAAAGCACUGUAAUAAAAAAAACUGCAAGCCAUCAGAUUGUGCAUUGAACAUGUAAUAAAAUCCUUUAUA
Molecule: long non-coding RNA, 717 nt
Filed under: Cottoperca gobio
Lineage: Eukaryota; Metazoa; Chordata; Actinopteri; Perciformes; Bovichtidae
Description: lncRNA (ENSCGOG00000021410.1)
Source: RNAcentral